CUACAUAUUUAAACGUGUUGCUGGUAUAAAAUUUUCUCAUCUAUUUGCAAACAAGUUUGGCAAAUCACAGUACAAAGGUGCUUGAAAAAUUUCAACUCUGCAAGUUGGAAAAAAAAGGAGGGUUUCAAAAUACUGUGCUUUCACGCUUUGGCGUCUUUGUCUUUGUGUUUGAAAGAUUUCUGUACUAAAGUGCAGCAUACUGCAUCUGUUGAAAAAAUUGUUCAGCCUUCUGAUCGAAAAGGUAAAAAAACCUAUUAAUUUGUUGGAUAAUUCUGAUAACAUGGCUGAAAAAACGAUUGAUCCUCAAAAUUACAAUCUUAUGAACAAGGGCCAAGCAUUCUUCCAGAAAAGCAGAACUGGUAUGUUUUUUAAUUUAUAUAAAAAUAUAUUUCUGUUAUCGUGUAAAUUUAUAUUUAGUUUAUUGCAUAUCUUUCCUAAGUCCCGUUUUCUUUCUUUUCUUUCCUGUGUAUUUUUUUUGCAGGGGUUUUAAAAGAUUACUAGAUAUUUGUGCCCGCGCGUUACUGCGGGAUUGAAAAUUUCAUGAAAGAUUAUGCAACUUCAUUCUCUUCGUAAGCAAUGUUUGAGUUAAUUUUGUUCCACUUAAGCAGCAAUGAGAAAUUGUAGAAAUUGUAGAAAGGCAGAAUUAACGUAUGCCAAAUGUAUUUCAAUGGAACUAAUUAUAUAGAAUUGGGAAGUCAAAUAAAUCAUAUAUAGCCACAAAAUAGUAACAGGUACAGAUGAGAUUAAUCAACAUCUACCAAAUCAAAAGUAGAUGUGGAAAUUGAAAUAAUAAACCUUGUUUUCUGUUCAAAAAGUCAUGCAACAAUGGGAACAUGACUAACCAGAUAGAACUGUGAUUAACUCACUUCAUCCGUAAACAAAAGAAACCCAAACCAAGUUCAGCAAGAAUUAUGCACGACCUUUUUGAAAACUAUAUAAUGAAUUAUAACAAAUUGUUAAACAAACAUGGACCGGAGGUUAUCUUAAAAUUCAUUUAAAUGGAAAAUGGUAAAUUUGGUUCACUUGAGAUGCUAACCUUUCAAAAUGCGAUACUAAUAUAAGUUGCAUAUUAGGAUGAAAUGCAUUAACGCUUACACUUCAUAAAA
This is a non-coding RNA of Malus domestica (apple), 1106 nucleotides long. NCBI's taxonomy places the organism in Eukaryota, Viridiplantae, Streptophyta, Magnoliopsida, Rosales, Rosaceae. The record is from RefSeq and is a predicted model, not a curated record.